CCCUUAGAUGUUCUGGGCUGCACGCGCGCUACACUGAUGCACUCAACGAGUUUACGACCUUGCCCGAUAGGGUUGGGUAAUCUUUUUAAAAUGCAUCGUGAUGGGGAUAGAUUAUUGCAAUUAUUAAUCUUCAACGAGGAAUUCCUAGUAAACGCGAGUCAUCAGCUCGUGCUGAUUACGUCCUGCCCUUUGUACACACCGCCCGUCGCUCCUACCGAUUGAGUGCUCAGGUGAAUAAUUCGGACUGCAGCAAUGUUUGGAUCCCGAACGUUGCAGCGGAAAGUUUAGUGAACCUUAUCACUUAGAGGAAGGAGAAGUCGUAACA
RNAcentral lists this ribosomal RNA (325 nucleotides) under uncultured eukaryote. RNAcentral's name for it is "partial 18S ribosomal RNA". It matches the Rfam family "Eukaryotic small subunit ribosomal RNA", at positions 1470 to 1796 of the family's 1831-position model. The record is from RNAcentral.